CGGCGAGUGAAGCGGCAACAGCUCAAAUUUGAAAUCUGGCCCUUGGGUCCGAGUUGUAAUUUGUAGAGGAUGCUUUUGGUGAGGUGCCUUCCGAGUUCCCUGGAACGGGACGCCAUAGAGGGUGAGAGCCCCGUCUGGUUGGACACCGAGCCUCUGUAAAGCUCCUUCGACGAGUCGAGUAGUUUGGGAAUGCUGCUCUAAAUGGGAGGUAUAUGUCUUCUAAAGCUAAAUAUUGGCCAGAGACCGAUAGCGCACAAGUAGAGUGAUCGAAAGAUGAAAAGCACUUUGAAAAGAGGGUUAAAUAGUACGUGAAAUUGUUGAAAGGGAAGCGCUUAUGACCAGACUUGAGCCCGGUUAAUCAUCCAGCCUUCUGGCUGGUGCACUUGGCCGGCUCAGGCCAGCAUCAGUUCGGCGCGGGGGAUAAAGACUUCGGGAAUGUGGCUCCUCCGGGAGUGUUAUAGCCCGUUGUGUAAUACCCUGUACUGGACUGAGGUUCGCGCAUCUGCAAGGAUGCUGGCGUAAUGGUCAUCAGCGACCCGUCUUGAAACACGGACCAAGGAGUCGUCUUCGUAUGCGAGUGUUCGGGUGUCAAACCCCUACGCGUAAUGAAAGUGAACGCAGGUGAGAGCUUCGGCGCAUCAUCGACCGAUCCUGAUGUUCUCGGACGGAUUUGAGUAAGAGCAUACGGAGCCGGACCCGAAAGAAGGUGAACUAUGCCUGUAUAGGGUGAAGCCAGAGGAAACUCUGGUGGAGGCUCGCAGCGGUUCUGACGUGCAAAUCGAUCGUCAAAUAU
Molecule: ribosomal RNA, 793 nt
Filed under: Dialonectria sp. G.J.S. 09-1197
Lineage: Eukaryota; Fungi; Ascomycota; Sordariomycetes; Hypocreales; Nectriaceae
Description: eukaryotic LSU rRNA
Rfam family: Eukaryotic large subunit ribosomal RNA
Source: RNAcentral